UGCACCAACCACGCCACCUUACCGAACAACAAUUGCUCCUUUAAGCAAGCUUCCUCUGCAAUUCACUAUUUAUGUGGACUCACACUAUGCCCCUUCAUGCCUUGAUGGGGAUUACUUUCCUGUUUUCUUGGCACCGACUCCAAGAAAUGGAGUGAACCUUCCUGCAUUUGUCAACCAGACCCUCGAAAUCAACGUCAGAUCCAAAGCACAAUACACCACGAUUUAUGACCUGAUUAUCACUGGACCAAAGGGCAUCUCAAAGCACCGAAUCACUGCAGAAGAAUACAUCAUAAAAUGGACACCAACUGAAAAUGAAGUGAACGAUCAUUUUC
Molecule: long non-coding RNA, 332 nt
Organism: Centropristis striata (black sea bass)
Lineage: Eukaryota; Metazoa; Chordata; Actinopteri; Perciformes; Serranidae
Exons: 3
Source: RefSeq, a predicted model, not a curated record